RNAcentral lists this ribosomal RNA (483 nucleotides) under uncultured bacterium. RNAcentral describes it as "partial 16S ribosomal RNA". It matches the Rfam family "Bacterial small subunit ribosomal RNA", at positions 28 to 506 of the family's 1533-position model. The record is from RNAcentral.
AUUGAACGCUGGCGGCAUGCUUUACACAUGCCAGUCGAACGGCAGCGCGGGCUUCGGCCUGGCGGCGAGUGGCGUACGGGUGAGUAAUGCAUCGGAACGUGCCCAGUAGUGGGGGAUAGCCCGGCGAAAGCCGGAUUAAUACCGCAUACGACCUGAGGGUGAAAGCGGGGGACCGAAAGGCCUCGCGCUAUUGGAGCGGCCGAUGUCGGAUUAGCUAGUUGGUGGGGUAAAGGCUUACCAAGGCGACGAUCCGUAGCUGGUCUGAGAGGACGACCAGCCACACUGGGACUGAGACACGGCCCAGACUCCUACGGGAGGCAGCAGUGGGGAAUUUUGGACAAUGGGGGCAACCCUGAUCCAGCCAUGCCGCGUGCGGGAAGAAGGCCUUCGGGUUGUAAACCGCUUUUGUUCGGGAAGAAAUCCUCUGGGCUAAUACCCCGGGGGGAUGACGGUACCGGAAGAAUAAGCACCGGCUAACUACGU